Molecule: long non-coding RNA, 862 nt
Organism: Xenopus laevis (African clawed frog)
Lineage: Eukaryota; Metazoa; Chordata; Amphibia; Anura; Pipidae
Exons: 2
Source: RefSeq, a predicted model, not a curated record
UCAUUCUGACGUCUCCUGAAUUUCUAGGAAUGCCCCUUCCCUGUUACUAUAUUUGGAGGUAGUUUCUAGGAAAAUAAUUUGCACAGGAUCUGGACUUCAGCACAGCUCCAUUUUCAGAACCACUUUAAGGAUCAUUUUUGCAGCCAGCUCCGGAGCCUCCUUUAAAUGCUUUUGGAUCAGCAGCCCCUGGGUUUGCAACACUGCUCUGAAUGCAGAGUACGAGUCUCACUGCUACUGGCAUCUCCCUUUUCAGGUUCCAUGAGAUUUUUAUUUUAACUUUUUGGAUUCCUUUACCCAGUCACCACUGGAUUUUUUUUUUUCUUACCCCUGAUGUGGCCUCUUGUGGCAUGAGCAUGAUGAAGAAAUGUUUCAGAAGCCUGGCAAUGUGAUCUUUAUGUAAUGAGUCAGGAUUCGUUAAGGGAAGGGAGCAGAGGACUGCUGAGGGAUCAACCUACUCCAGCAGGGGAAUGACAAGCAGUGCUGCUGCUGCCUGGGCUCUCCCAUAUACACUAUUCACACAGCUUCUAUGGAAUGCCGAUCCACCACCCACCACUUCCUAUACAGCUGUAUACCGCAGGGAAAAUAAGGGACUUUUGGGGGCAGAUGUGUUUCACUUACACUACCAUAAUGCCCCUAAAAAUCCUUAUUGUUCUUGCAGUGUUCUUCAGAAUCUCUGGGGCUGGAACCAUGCAAAGAAGAAUCUUCAAUGUUUGAAAUCUGUCAUUUCGAUCUUUGUCUUUUUUUUUGACCAUUUACAAAAACGGAAUUGUGACUUAAAUAAAAGCAAUAAAUAAAAUAAUGUCCAGAGAUUUGGAUAGAUUGAUAGGCAUGUGCUGACUCUUUCAAUAAAAAUCGACCAUGA